CGUCUCGUGGGCUCGGAGAUGUGUAUAAGAGACAGGCCUAACACAUGCAAGUUGAGCGAUUUACUUCGGUAAAGAGCGGCGGACGGGUGAGUAACGCGUGGGUAACCUACCCUGUACACACGGAUAACAUACCGAAAGGUAUGCUAAUACGGGAUAAUAUAUUUGAGAGGCAUCUCUUGAAUAUCAAAGGUGAGCCAGUACAGGAUGGACCCGCGUCUGAUUAGCUAGUUGGUAAGGUAACGGCUUACCAAGGCGACGAUCAGUAGCCGACCUGAGAGGGUGAUCGGCCACAUUGGAACUGAGACACGGUCCAAACUCCUACGGGAGGCAGCAGUGGGGAAUAUUGCACAAUGGGCGAAAGCCUGAUGCAGCAACGCCGCGUGAGUGAUGAAGGCCUUCGGGUCGUAAAACUCUGUCCUCAAGGAAGAUAAUGACGGUACUUGAGGAGGAAGCCCCGGCUAACUACGUGCCAGCAGCCGCGGUAAUACGUAGGGGGCUAGCGUUAUCCGGAUUUACUGGGCGUAAAGGGUGCGUAGGCGGUCUUUCAAGUCAGGAGUGAAAGGCUACGGCUCAACCGUAGUAAGCUCUUGAAACUGGGAGACUUGAGUGCAGGAGAGGAGAGUGGAAUUCCUAGUGUAGCGGUGAAAUGCGUAGAUAUUAGGAGGAACACCAGUUGCGAAGGCGGCUCUCUGGACUGUAACUGACGCUGAGGCACGAAAGCGUGGGGAGCAAACAGGAUUAGAUACCCUGGUAGUCCACGCUGUAAACGAUGAGUACUAGGUGUCGGGGGUUACCCCCUUCGGUGCCGCAGCUAACGCAUUAAGUACU
Molecule: ribosomal RNA, 828 nt
Filed under: Clostridioides difficile
Lineage: Bacteria; Bacillati; Bacillota; Clostridia; Peptostreptococcales; Peptostreptococcaceae
Description: bacterial SSU rRNA
Rfam family: Bacterial small subunit ribosomal RNA
Source: RNAcentral